Corticium candelabrum is the source of this 527-nucleotide long non-coding RNA. RefSeq lists it as uncharacterized. The record is from RefSeq and is a predicted model, not a curated record. The transcript has 5 exons. NCBI's taxonomy places the organism in Eukaryota, Metazoa, Porifera, Homoscleromorpha, Homosclerophorida, Plakinidae.
AACCAUCAGUCGAAAGCCAUAGCGUGAGCAUCACUUUUUGCAAAGACGUCGUGGAUAUCUACUAGCUAACGACUUUGGCAACCAUGAGCAACGGGGAGAAAGUUGUCAUCGUAGAGAAGAAAAACAAGACGAAUCAUUGUCUGCACUGCUGCAUUUCGAUUUUCCUCCCUUGUUGGAUUUGUGUUUGGAUCUACUUUUGCUGCACGAGUGACUGAAGACAAGAAACAGUCAACAUAUGUCGAUCAUCGUCUAAUACCACGUAGACUCUUCAAUAUUAGCCCUGCAUUUUGCCUAUAAUUAAUUAAUUAAUCAUGUGCUUCACUGGCAGUAUACGGUAUGUAGAGUUUGUUACGUUCUAGAGUGCAACAGUCAUCUAAUGACCACUGCAGUGUCGAUUGAUUCAGUGAUCUCGUUUUGUACCAACAAUGAAAAUUAUGCGUUGAGAUACAAGAGUUUUUUCGUCUAAAACAGUUGCCUAAGAACAGCUGCAUGUCGAAAUAGCGUUCGUAUUAUAAGCUAACGAAACA